This 492-nucleotide ribosomal RNA is filed under the name uncultured bacterium. RNAcentral describes it as "partial 16S ribosomal RNA". It matches the Rfam family "Bacterial small subunit ribosomal RNA", at positions 30 to 507 of the family's 1533-position model. The record is from RNAcentral.
AGUGAACGCUGGCGGUAGGCCUAACACAUGCAAGUCGAACGGCAGCACAGUAAGCGCUUGCUCUUACGGGUGGCGAGUGGCGGACGGGUGAGGCAUACAUCGGAUUCUUCUUUUUCGUGGGGGAUAACGUAGGGAAACUUACACUAAUACCGCAUACGUCCUACGGGUGAAAGCAGUGGAUCUUCGGACCUUGCGCGAUUGUUUUAGCCGAUGUCGGAUUAGCUAGUUGGCGGGGUAAAGGCCCACCAAGGCGACGAUCCGUAGCUGGUCUGAGAGGAUGAGCAGCCAAAAUGGAACUGAGAAAGGGUCCAGAAUACUAAGGGAGGGAGCAGGGGGGAAUAUUGGAGAAAGGGGGGAAGGCUGAACCAGGCAUAGCGCGGGGGGGAAGAAGGGCUUCGGGUUGGAAAGACCUUUUGAUGGGAAAGAAAAGCAGGAGGAUAAAACCACGCUGGUCUGACGGGAACCAAAGAAGAAGCACCGGCUAACUUCGUG